RNAcentral lists this ribosomal RNA (1026 nucleotides) under Scolecobasidium sp. RNAcentral's name for it is "partial large subunit ribosomal RNA". The record is from RNAcentral. Lineage: Eukaryota; Fungi; Ascomycota; Dothideomycetes; Venturiales; Sympoventuriaceae.
UAACAGUACGUGAAAUUGUUGAAAGGGAAGCGCAUGGGGGCAGACUUGGACGCGGGGUUCAGGGUCACAAGUUUGAGGCCUGUACUUCCCCGCGGACAGGCCAGCAUCGGUUCUGGGGGCCGGACAAAGGCGACGGGAACGUGGCUCUCUUCGGGGAGUGUUAUAGCCCGACGUGCAAUGCGGCCACCUGGGACCGAGGACCGCGCUUCGGCAAGGAUGCUGGCGUAAUGGCCUCAUGCGGCCCGUCUUGAAACACGGACCAAGGAGUCUAACAUCUAUGCGAGUGUUUGGGUGGCAAGCCCGGACGCGCAAUGAAAGUGAACGGAGGUGGGAGCCCUUUUCUUGUGGAGGGGGUGCAGCAUCGACCGAUCCGGACGUUUUCUGAAGGAUUUGAGUAAGAGCAUAGCUGUUGGGACCCGAAAGAUGGUGAACUAUGCGUGAAUAGGGUGAAGCCAGAGGAAACUCUGGUGGAGGCUCGCAGCGGUUCUGACGUGCAAAUCGAUCGUCAAAUUUGCGUAUAGGGGCGAAAGACUAAUCGAACCAUCUAGUAGCUGGUUCCUGCCGAAGUUUCCCUCAGGAUAGCAGUAACGCGCGGCAGUUUUAUGAGGUAAAGCGAACGAUUAGGGAGCUAGGGGUUGAAACAACCUUUAUCCAUUCUCGAACUUUAAAUAUGUAAGAAGUCCUUGUUGCUUUGUUGAACGUGGACACUCGAAUGCGGCGUUACUAGUGGGCCAUUUUUGGUAAGCAGAACUGGCGAUGCGGGAUGAACCGAACGUGGGGUUAAGGUGCCGGAAUGCACGCUCAUCAGACACCACAAAAGGUGUUGGUUCAUCCAGACAGCAGGACGGUGGCCAUGGAAGUCGGAAUCCGCUAAGGAGUGUGUAACAACUCACCUGCCGAAUGAACCAGCCCUGAAAAUGGAUGGSGCUCAAGCGUGCUACCCAUACCCCACCGUCUGCGCAAGAGGGUUUGCGUAGACGAGUAGGCAGGCGUGGAGGUUUUGUGACGAAGCCCAAGGCGUGAGCC